GGGAGUUGUAGUCCAGCCCGCGCUACAUGCCAAAGGGCAUACUGCAGGGGUUGGACUACAGCUCCCGGCAGCCCCCGCGCGCGGGCAGCGGGCGGGCGCGAAGCGGAAGUGCGUGAGGGGGAGGUGGUAGGCGCCUGGCUGUUGAGGAGGCCGCGGGCGGAGCGGGGUCCGGUGAGAGUUCAGUCACUUCUAAUAAAGCAGAUUCAGAAGCAAAAUUGAUGGGAGACUCAUUCAAGGUUUGCUUCCUGAUUUCAUAACUGACGGAGCUGAGGCAGUGAAACCUGAUUGUUGCAGGGUGCAAGGUGUGAACCUGCUCAAGCAGGUACAGCUGACGGGUGCUUGCAAAGAUGUCUAAAACUAACAAGUCAAAGUCUGGGUCCCGCUCUUCCCGUUCGAGGUCUGGAUCGAGAUCCCGCUCCCGCUCCUUCUCCAAGUCCCGCUCCCGUUCCCGUUCUGUCUCACGGUCAAGAAAGCGCAGACUCAGUUCUAGGUCCCGUUCCCGAUCGUAUUCUCCAUCUCACAACAGGGAAAGGAACCAUCCGAGAGUCUAUCAAAACCGGGAUUUCCGAGGGCAUAACAGAGGCUACAGGAGACCAUAUUAUUUUCGAGGCCGAAAUCGAGGGUUUUAUCCCUGGGGCCAGUACAACCGAGGAGGAUAUGGCAAUUACAGGUCAAACUGGCAAAACUACCGCCAAGCGUACAGCCCGCGUAGAGGGAGGUCGCGCUCUCGUUCCCCCAAGAGAAGGUCUCCUUCGCCCAGGUCUAGAAGUCAUUCUAGGAAUUCCGAUAAGUCAUCUUCUGAUCGGUCGAGGAGGUCUUCCUCCUCCCGCUCCUCCUCGAAUCACAGCCGAGUGGAGUCUUCUAAGCGGAAAUCUGGAAAGGAGAAGAAGUCCUCUUCCAAGGAUAACCGGGCAUCUCAGCCUGCAGGAGAUAACCAAGGUGAUGAGUCUAAGGAGCAGCCGUUUUCAGGAGCAGUGGCUCAAGAUGUCAAGGCGUCUGAGGGAUCAAAACCGUGGCAGGAGAUGAGCACCUAUGGUACAAGUUCAACCUCAAGAGCUUCUGUGUCUGAGCUUAGCCCGAGGGAACGCAGUCCUGCACUAAAAAGCCCUCUCCAGUCGGUUGUGGUGAGGCGUCGUUCUCCUCGGCCAAGUCCAUUGCAAAAGUCGAGCCCUCCACUCUCCAACCCAUCCCAGAUGAGCUCUGCUUUACAAAGCAGCAGCAGCAGCGGCACCUCCUUUCAGGCAGGUUCUCAUCAGAGUCCCUUUGACCACGGCUCGGCAGGUUUGAGCCCGACCAGGAAGAGCCCUGUGUGUAAAAGUCCAACACCAGUGAGUUCCAUUUACAGUACAUCUCAGAAGGAGGAAACCACAGCUCCUGGAGGAGGAGCCUUCUCCAAAAGGUAUCUGGAAGAGCAGAAGACUGAGAAUGGGAAAGACAAAGAACAGAAAGUAACAAAUGUUGAAAAAGAGAAAAGUAAAGAGAAAGGGAAUUUCUCGGAGGUGGGAUCAGCAGAUGGAAAGGCAAAAUCCGAGUCCUAUGCCUCCAAAGCGGACUCGGAGAAGGGAUACCGCGGCAGCCAGUCGCCCAAGCGCUACAAGUUCCGGGAUGAAUUUGACAAGCUCAAGGCCCCGGAGUUCCACAAGGAAGGCCAUUAUGGCAAAGAGGAAACAGAUGACCAGGAAAAGAAAGACAAGGCAAAGGGCCGAAAAGAUUCGGAAUUUGAGGAAGAGCCCAAAUUUAUGUCUAAAGUUGUAGCAACUUCAAGUAAAAGUCAAGAGGAGGAGAGACCAGGAAAAUGGGAAGGCGUGGUGUUCUUGCCACCCGGAAAAGAGAAGCAAAGGAAACCUGAGGAAAUGGAGGAGGAAAGCUAUUCAGAACGAUCAAAGAAAGAGGAGAGACCAGCAUCCAAGAGAGCUGAACCAGGUCACAGGGGCUUUGUUCCUGAGAAGAAUUUCAGAGUGACCACUUACAAAUCAAGCCAGGAGAAAAGUUCUUCCCCCCCACCAAGGAAGACUUCUGAGGUGAAGGAGAAACCAGGCACCAAAGUAGAAGGGCUAACUCCUGGCAAAUCCUCCUUUUCUAUUACACGUGAGGCCCAGGUCAAUAUCCGAAUGGAUUCCUUCGAUGAAGAUCUUGCACGUCCAAGUGGCAUAUUGGCUCAGGAACGCAAGCUGUGUCGUGACCUGGUGCACAGCAACAAAAAGGAGCAGGAAUUCCGUUCCAUUUUCCAUCAUAUUCAGUCUGCUCAGUCUCAGAGGAGCCCUUCUGAACUGUUUGCUCAGCAUAUAGUGACUAUCGUCCAUCAUGUAAGAGAGCAUCACUUUGGCUCUUCAGGAAUGACACUGAAUGAACGCUUUACCAAAUAUCUAAAGAAAGGAAUGGAACAAGAUGCAGCUAAAAACAAGAAGAGCCCUGAAAUCCACAGGAGGAUAGAUAUAUCUCCCAGUACUUUUAGAAAACAUGGAUUCUCUCAAGAGGAAUCGAAAAGCUCCCGAGAGCCUGGCUUCAAGGCUGAAGGGAAGUAUAAGGAUGACCCUGUUGACCUGCGCCUUGAUAUUGAGCGCCGUAAAAAACAUAAGGAAAGAGAUCUUAAACGGGAUAAAUCCAGAGAAUCGGUGGACUCGAGAGAUUCAAGUCACUCAAGGGAAAGAUCAACUGAGAAAACGGAGAAAAGUCACAAAGGCUCAAAGAAAAAGAAACACCGAAGGGUACGUGAGAGAUCCAGAUCCAGUUCAUCAUCUUCGUGGUCCUCUCAUUCAGUCAAAGCGGAGGAAUAUCCCGAGGAGACUGAGGAGAGGGAGGAAAGCACCACAGGCUUUGACAAGUCCCGACUUGGGACUAAGGAAUUUCCUGGUCCCAAUGAACGAGGAAGAGCUAGAGGGACCUUUUCAAAGCAUACCAUGAAGGAGAAAGCCCAAAGACAUUGUCUGGUUGUGGAUGCUGAGCCAAAUAUGAUUGCUCUGGGUCUGGAGCACAAACCAGGGUGCUGAGAAUAUAGUCUGGGCAGUUGAACUCAAGAUGUAUGGAGCAAAAUGAAGCCUGGAAGCUUUUGUGGAUUAGGAAUUGCUGAGCGCUCUGGAAAUGCCUCUACAUGACUUUAAUCAGCUUUAUAGAAACUGUGAUGCACUGUGUGAUCAGAUGAGCUAGAAAACCCUAAAAUAUACUGACCUCUUAUUUUAAUGAUGGGUUAAAGGUGCUCUUGGAUGGUUAGAGAAGUGAUGAGGUAUCUCCUGGUAGCCCUGGGAGGUCUCUGGGGGUGGGAGGGCAUUGCCACUGCAACCGUUUUACUUUUCUUUCAUGUUUUGCUGUUGCAGCAAUUCAGAGCAAGAGGGAGAGGAUGGGGCAGAGGCAACUUUUCAGGCAACAAUAACAGCAACAGUGGUGGCAACAAUGACUUCCAGAAGAGAAGCAGAGAUGAGGAGUGGGAUCCAGAGUACACGCCGAAGAGCAAGAAGUACUACUUGCACGAUGACCGGGAGGGCGAAGGCGCGGACAAGUGGGUGAACCGCGGCCGUGGUCGAGGUGCCUUCCCCCGAGGAAGAGGCCGCUUCAUGUUCCGGAAGUCGAGCACCAGCCCCAAGUGGGCUCACGACAAAUUCAGUGGAGAAGAAGGAGAAAUCGAAGACGAUGAAAGCGGAACAGAAAACAGAGAGGAAAAGGACAACUUGCAGACGGCAGCUGAGUAGCCGCAGGGUCCGCGCGUUUCCGGGAGCCCUGGCAGGGGGAAGGGGUUCAGGGCUGGAUUGUCAGGGUGAUCCUGACGUGCUGAGCAGAGCCCUGGAGAGGAGCUCGGAAACAAUCCCGAUGUUAACUGCAUUUCCAGAGUUCAGCCUCCCGAAGCGUGGACUAGAACUGAUCAAUCAUUUAUGCUCGGAUCCACUCAUGGAGUUUAUCUUCCCAAAGACUUCCCUUCUGGACUGAGUAAGGUCAAGUACUGGGUGAGAUCAUAGAUUUUUUUCUCUCCUCUGUGACCUUAUUGAAUGGUCAGUUAUUUUCUUGGUAACAGGCUUUGAAGACAACGUGGAUUUUCGUUUGUGCCCAUCUUACCCCAGUAGGCUUGACAUUUUGGGUUCUCUUUUAUAAUUUGAAAUGGCUCUGGUCGGGGUUAACUCACCCUUUCAAGUUCUUUCUCCCCUAUUGUGUAUUCAGUUUUUUAAAUCCAUACUCUUACUUUAGGCCUUUAUGUAGGAACAUCAAUUAAAUGAUAAUUUUGGAAGCUAUUUUUGGUUCUUAUCAAUAAGAAAACAAUGAAGCAUGUGAAUAAACAUCUAAAUGUUAACUCCUUGGGACCAAACUCCGAUGACUUUUCUUUUUUAAACCUUUUUUUUAAAUGUAACUGUUGAGUUUUAGGGCCUUUAAAAAAACAAAAAAACAGACAAUGUUUUCCUUUUAUGUUGAAAGUUAACAAAAUUAGCAUGGUUUAAAGGAAAAAAAAAACCUUCCACCCUACUUCUCACCACUGUUUGUGUGCACUGUUAGGCCUGGUGUGUGCUGGAGCCCCAAACCGCUUGUAGGCAUUUUGUGUAUCCUCUUUGCAGCUGGUGGUGAACUCGAGUGCUCUUCCCAAGGUACCAGAGUUUUCUAAGAAACUUGGGAAUUCUACUGGCUGGAAAAAUAGAAAAGGAGAUGAGAAUUUUUUCAAUAUUUUUUAUUAAUCUUUUUAUAAAAAACAAAGAAAACAAAGACAAACCCCCAAGUCCCUCCUGUGCCGGGCGAGGAUGGCCGAGCCCUGCUUUUCUUUCUCUCUUCUACUUGCCUGUGCUCUGAAGGAGUUUGCCAGGUCAGCCCCUCGCAGCAGGGGAGGCACGUCCCUGCACCCCCGCUGCGUGUGCACGCGCUGUAGGCACCGCUCUCCCUCCCUGCCUUCCCUCCCCACGGAUUGCUGUGCUCUUCUCCCCGCACACACCAACUAGAGUUUGGUUUGUUUUGACUUGAACAGUUCCUGUUUAGCAAAGCCCUCCCGUUUGUUUAUGCCAAUAAAAUACAAUAAAAUAAG
Strigops habroptila (Kakapo) is the source of this 4996-nucleotide RNA transcript. It is a transcript of the gene named thyroid hormone receptor associated protein 3, with no coding region annotated. The transcript has 13 exons. The record is from RefSeq and is a predicted model, not a curated record. NCBI's taxonomy places the organism in Eukaryota, Metazoa, Chordata, Aves, Psittaciformes, Psittacidae.